UUCUUUCCUCGGCUGGCGCUCAGAUGGACAGGUGCACUGGCGCUCAGAUGGGCAGGUGCUGGAGCAGCCCUGCUGGAAGCGGUGCAACCUUCAGGAAGCCAGAGGAAGGGGCAGAGAGGGACCUUUGCUUUCCAGGUUGCCUUUUAUACUGCCUCUGGACCCCUGACGCGAAACGGACCCUAACCUAAUCAACUUAAUCCAAUUACAUGACCUGGAAAGGUCUAUUUGCCCAGCCCACUCUAAGACGAUGUUCACUAUGGACAGACAUUCUAAAACCUACCUGUACAGCUGCAAGCUUUGAAGAAUAGAUGUUUCCCGUCAGGAAGCCCUUGGAAACCACCGUGAAUUGGACUGCACUGGGAAACCCAGAUGAAGAAAGUCAACACCUCUUUGUCCUUCGGUGCCUGGCUCCUUUUUCAGCUCAUCCUGCGGCUCCAGGCAUUAUGCCUGAAGAGUCUCCAGGACACCGGUGGGGCUCUAUUUCCUUGGGUCCUGUUGCCAUUUCUCUGGAUUUGCGAAGAUCCAGCGGACUUUCUGUGGAACUCUCUUGUCGGGGAACUUGGGUGCCACGUCCCCUCAUUCUGCCCUUCGUCAUCUGCACCUGCACGAGUUAGGGUCCAAGUUCCCUGGAUGGGAAGAGACAGGCAGGAGUCGGAAUGGUGAACCAGCACACUGGGGGCAUUUUCUCACUUGGUCCAAGUGGCCCCAUGGUCUUCUAGAGCUUUGGAACCAGUCGCGUCCCACUUGACACUACACCCGACUCUCAGUUGCUGAAUCUUGUUGGCCCUCUGGCCAUCUCCUGUUGGAUGAGUUGCACCUGCUGAAACUCGAUUUCCCCUGGAUUUGCGCUUCAUUAAUUAUUCAUGAUUCAGGUGGGAACGCCUGCUUACAUCCCCCUGUGGCCAUUCUCUGAGCUUUCCGGUCACAUCGUUUCCUGCCAUGCUCUUUGGUUCAUUUUGGUCAUGCUCCUUCUGCUGUCAGAGGAGCAGAGAGUUGAUCUUGUUGAUUCUGGAUACUGAUAGUUUCUAGGUGAUCUGGAUAACCAAGGUAACGACCCUCAACGGCGGUGGAAAGGGAGCAGCCAUUUGGCGUUGCUCAGAAAAUCCCACUCAGUUCCCAGGCCUCCUAGAUGUGCAAUCCUGGUCAGAGUUGUUCCCAGGUCAGAGAACGGAGAUAGCCUGUGCAUGGUGGGAUAUCUUUACCUAGAGCUUUCAGUGAGUCUCGACCUCAGCUACUCUUAGGAUCGGGGGAGAAGCACGGAAAGGCCCUGUGCUCAGGCAUCUGGAAAGAAGACGGGAUGAAUAUUCUACCUCUGAAGUACAUCCCAAAUCUGGGAGUUUACUUCCCAGAUUAAUAGUGUCAUCGAUAAUUAUUAAAAUUGGUCAUUAGUGUUUAAUAAUUAAUCAUAUUAUUACUCCUAAUACCGCAGGGUGUGUACACCUACCUGUGAUGUCAUUCUUAAUAUCCAGGGAGGGAGAGCAUGGUUUUAGUUUUAAUAUCGCAAUAAGCGCACACUCACCCUGUGACACAAAUCCUAAUAUCCAGUGUGGUAGAGUAUGACAUGACUCCCAACAUAGCAAUGAAUAGACAGCCACCCGGUGAUAUGGCUCCUUAUAUUCACGGAAGAUGAGUAUGAUAUUAGUCCCAAUAUCGCAGGGAGGGUACAGGUCUUCUGUGUUAUGAUUUCUAAUAUCCAGAGGAGGAGAGGAUGAUAAUAAUUCCAGUGUCAUAGGCUGUGUUCACCGGCCCUGUGACAUUGUUAUUAAUGUCUUCAAAGGGAGAGGAUAUUACUCCCAACGUGGCAGGGGGUGUACAUCCACCCUGUGAUAUUGUUUAUAUUCCAAGGCUGAGAGGUUGAUAUUACUCCUAGUAUCACAGACACUGUACACCCCCGUGUUUUUAAUCCCUGCAAUAUUCGGAGUAGUAUCAUCCUCUCCUGGGUGGAAAUUGGGAACAGUAUCACCGGGGGCGUGUACACACCCUGCGAUAUUGAAAGUAAUAUCAUCCUCUUCCCUCCUGGAUCAUGGAAACAACAUCACUGUGGGGGUGUACACUUUCUGCGAUAUUGGGAGUAACAUUAUCUUCUGUGCCUUGGAUUAUUAAGGACAAUAUCACGGGGGCAUGUGCACAUCUUCUGCAAUAUUGGGAAUAAUAUUAUCCUCUCUCCCCCUGCAUAUUAGGAAAGAUAUCACAGAGUGGGUGUUCACCUCCUUCGAUAUGGGGAUUAAAACCAUCUUCUCCUGUUCCAGAUAUCAGGAGGAAUAUCACACGGGGAUGUACAGUGUCUGUGAUACUGGGAGUAAUAUCAACCUCUCGGCCUAGGAAUAUUAAGAAGAGUAUCACAGGGUGGAUGUAUACCCCCUGUCAUAUUGGAAGUAAUAUUAGCCUCUCCCCCCGAUGGAUAUUAGGAACAAUAUCCCAGACUGGGUGUAUGCCUCCUGCUCUACGGGGCGUAAUAUCAUCCUCUCCCUUCUAUGAUAUAAAUAACAAUAUCACAGGGCAGGUGAACACAGCCUGCGAUACUGGAAUUAUUAUCAUCCUCUCCCCCUCUGGAUACUAGGAACCAUAUCACAGAUGAGUUGUACCCUCCCUGCGAUAUUGGGAGAGAUAUUAUACGCUUCUUCCGUGAAUAUUAGGAGCCAUAUCACUGGGUGGCUGUCUAUUCAUUGCUAUGUUGGGAGUCAUGUCAUACUCUACCCCCUAGAUAUUAGCAUCACUGCACAGGGUGAGUGCACACCUACUGCGAUAUUAAAAUUAAAAUCAUGCUCUCCGUCCCUGGAUAUUAGGAACACAUCACAGGUAGGUGUACACCCCCUGCGGUAUUAAGAGUAAUAAUAGGAUUAAUUAUUAAACAUCUAUGGUCGAUUUUGAUAAUUAUCAAUGACACAAUUAAUAAGAUACCAUUAUUAACUAUGGAUAAUUAUUUUAAAUAUAUGAUUAUGUACUCUUGAAAAUAAUUAGUAAUAUUAAUGUCAUUUAACAAUAUUAUUAGUUCUUAAUAUUAAUAAUUAUUUUAUUACCAACAUCACUUAGUAUUGAUUUAAGUAACAUUAAUUGCUGAUAUCAUUAUUUUAUUAAUAGUGAUAUUAUGAUUAAUUGUUAUACUAAUCGUUAACAUUUUUUACCAGUAUUAAUUUAUACUAUCUUUAUUGUGAUUAUUAAUAUUGAUGAUUGCUAUCAAUUUUUAUUAUAUUUAUUAAUAUUAAUAAUUAACAGACUUGUUCCUGAUAUCCGACGGGGAGAGGAUGAUAUUACUCCCAAUAUCGAAGAAAAUGUACAUCUCUCUAUGAUAUUAUUUCUAAUAGUCAGGGGGUAGAGGAUGACAUUAUUGAAACUAUCGCAGUGGGUGUCCAUCCCUUCGGUCAUUUUGUUCCUUGUAUCCUGAGUGGGAGAGGUUGAUAUGACUCCCAAUAUCACAAGAAGUGUACUACCGCCUGUAAUAUAGUUCCUAACAUCUAGGUGGGGAGAGGAUGAUAUUACUGCCCAUAUCGCACGAGUUGUAAAACCCCUUCGAUAUUUUGCUUACGAUCCUGAGGGGAGAAGAUGAUAUUACUCCCAAUAUCGAAGAAGAUGUACAACCCCCUGUGACACUAUGUUCAAUAUCCACUUUGGGAGACGAUGACAUUACACCCAAUAUCGCAGGGGAUGUACAUCCACCUUGGGAUAUUGUUCCUUAUAUCGAGAGGGGGAGAAGAUGUUAUUACUCCCAAUAACGCAGGGGCUGUGGCUGUACACCCCUCCUGUGUAAUUGUUUUUAAUAUCCUAGGCAAGAGAGGAUGACACUACACCCAAUAUCGCAGGGGGUGUACAUUCACCCGGUGAUAUUGUUCUUAAUGUACUCCACCUCUGUCCGCCAGGGAUAUCGUUUCUAAUAUCCAGGGGAAGAGAGGAUAACAUUAUGCCCAAUAUCGCAGAGGAGUAUACACACCCUCUUAGAUGUUGUUCCUAGUAUCCAAAGAUAGAGACGAUGAUGUUACUGGCCAUAUCGCAGCGGUGUACACCCUUCUGUGAUACUGUUUUUGACAUUCAGUGGGGGAGGGGAUAACAUUAAUCCCAAUAUCACAGAAGGCGUACAGACCCCUGUGAUGUAGUUCCUAAUGUACAGAGGAAAGAGAAGAAUAUUGCUCUCAAUAUCGCAGGGGGUGAAACCACCCUGUCCCCUGUAUAUUGCUCCUAAUACGCAGUGGCAUGGAGGCUGAUAGUACUCCCAAUAUCCCAGAAGGUGCACACACACCUGUGAUGUAGUUCCUAAUAUCUAGCGGGAAAGAGGCUGAUUUUACUUUCGAUAUUGCAGUGGGUGUACACCGCCCCCAACCCCAGGGUAUCAUUCCUAAUAUCCAGGCGGGAAGAAGAUGACAUGGCU
Chlorocebus sabaeus (green monkey) is the source of this 4363-nucleotide non-coding RNA. Lineage: Eukaryota; Metazoa; Chordata; Mammalia; Primates; Cercopithecidae. The record is from RefSeq and is a predicted model, not a curated record.